RNAcentral lists this ribosomal RNA (252 nucleotides) under uncultured bacterium. RNAcentral's name for it is "partial 16S ribosomal RNA". It matches the Rfam family "Bacterial small subunit ribosomal RNA", at positions 524 to 776 of the family's 1533-position model. The record is from RNAcentral.
UACGUAGGUGGCGAGCGUUGUCCGGAAUCAUUGGGCGUAAAGGGAGCGCAGGCGGGCAAGUAAGUCUUUCUUAAAAGUGCGGGGCUCAACCCCGUGAUGGGAAAGAAACUACAUGUCUUGAGUACAGGAGAGGAAAGCGGAAUUCCCAGUGUAGCGGUGAAAUGCGUAGAUAUUGGGAGGAACACCAGUGGCGAAGGCGGCUUUCUGGACUGCAACUGACGCUGAGGCUCGAAAGCCAGGGGAGCGAACGGG